Molecule: ribosomal RNA, 253 nt
Filed under: uncultured bacterium
Lineage: Bacteria
Description: partial 16S ribosomal RNA
Rfam family: Bacterial small subunit ribosomal RNA
Source: RNAcentral
UACGUAGGGUGCAAGCGUUAAUCGGAAUUACUGGGCGUAAAGCGUGCGCAGGCGGUUUUGUAAGUCUGUCGUGAAAGCCCCGGGCUCAACCUGGGAAUUGCGUUGGAGACUGCAAGGCUAGAAUCUGGCAGAGGGGGGUAGAAUUCCACGUGUAGCAGUGAAAUGCGUAGAGAUGUGGAGGAACACCGAUGGCGAAGGCAGCCCCCUGGGUCAAGAUUGACGCUCAUGCACGAAAGCGUGGGGAGCAAACCGG